GUGGAAUUGAGCCGUGUCUUGCUUCGCUGGUAAGACUUCCACCUGAGAGGCAGGCUGAGGGAGUGUCUUUAACAAAGACACAUAAAAAGGGAAGAAAACAAAUCUUAAAAAGUGGGCAGAUGGAUUAUUUCAUAUGUCCUCAGAAGCUGGGCAUCAAGAUUCCUUCAUUAGAGGCCAUGUCCGCUGUAUGCCAACAAUUCUUGAGAGUGAGUUUACACUGCCUACUGUUGGCAGAAAAUUGAGGCAGAAAAAUUUGAAGGACUUGACCACAGUGAUCGUCACUCUGCAACCAAGAUGGGAAAUAGAUUUUCAGCUUCCUGUCAUUCAGGGUAAUUUGCCAUUCACCAGACACGAACUAAGGUGUGGCCAAGUUCUAGCUGGAUGCAUAUCUGAAGUGAUAAUUUUGAUCAGCAUUUUAUAAAACAAGCCAAAUUCAAGUACUGUCUACAAUUGCUGCUAAUGGAAGAUACGUAAUGUCAUUUCAAACUGGCAUUCAGUGGACACAUAGUCCACAAAUAGCCACGAGAUUUGGUUUAAAAAUAAA
Molecule: long non-coding RNA, 544 nt
Organism: Zalophus californianus (California sea lion)
Lineage: Eukaryota; Metazoa; Chordata; Mammalia; Carnivora; Otariidae
Exons: 3
Source: RefSeq, a predicted model, not a curated record